GACGAACGCUGGCGGCGUGCCUAAUACAUGCAAGUAGAACGCUGAAGAGAGGAGCUUGCUCUUCUUGGAUGAGUUGCGAACGGGUGAGUAACGCGUAGGUAACCUGCCUGGUAGCGGGGGAUAACUAUUGGAAACGAUAGCUAAUACCGCAUAAAAUUGAUUAUUGCAUGAUAAUUAAUUGAAAGAUGCAACUGCAUCACUACCAGAUGGACCUGCGUUGUAUUAGCUAGUUGGUGAGGUAACGGCUCACCAAGGCGACGAUACAUAGCCGACCUGAGAGGGUGAUCGGCCACACUGGGACUGAGACACGGCCCAGACUCCUACGGGAGGCAGCAGUAGGGAAUCUUCGGCAAUGGGGGGAACCCUGACCGAGCAACGCCGCGUGGGUGAAGAAGGUUGUCGGAUCGUAAAGCUCUGUUGUAAGAGAAGAACGGGUGUGAGAGUGGAAAGUUCACACUGUGACGGUAUCUUACCAGAAAGGGACGGCUAACUACGUG
Molecule: ribosomal RNA, 497 nt
Filed under: uncultured bacterium
Lineage: Bacteria
Description: partial 16S ribosomal RNA
Rfam family: Bacterial small subunit ribosomal RNA
Source: RNAcentral